CCUACGGGAGGCAGCAGUGAGGAAUAUUGGUCAAUGGACGAGAGUCUGAACCAGCCAAGUAGCGUGAAGGAUGACUGCCCUAUGGGUUGUAAACUUCUUUUAUAUGGGAAUAAAACGUUCCACGUGUGGGAUUUUGUAUGUACCAUAUGAAUAAGGAUCGGCUAACUCCGUGCCAGCAGCCGCGGUAAUACGGAGGAUCCGAGCGUUAUCCGGAUUUAUUGGGUUUAAAGGGAGCGUAGGUGGAUUGUUAAGUCAGUUGUGAAAGUUUGAGGCUCAACCGUAAAAUUGCAGUUGAAACUGGCAGUCUUGAGUACAGUAGAGGUGGGCGGAAUUCGUGGUGUAGCGGUGAAAUGCUUAGAUAUCACGAAGAACUCCGAUUGCGAAGGCAGUUCACUGGACUGCAACUGACACUGAGGCUCGAAAGUGUGGGUAUCAAACAGGAUUAGAUACCCUUGUAGUC
Molecule: ribosomal RNA, 460 nt
Filed under: uncultured bacterium
Lineage: Bacteria
Description: partial 16S ribosomal RNA
Rfam family: Bacterial small subunit ribosomal RNA
Source: RNAcentral